GAUGAACGCUGGCGGCGUGCCUAAUACAUGCAAGUCGAGCGAACAGACGAGGAGCUUGCUCCUCUGACGUUAGCGGCGGACGGGUGAGUAACACGUGGAUAACCUACCUAUAAGACUGGGAUAACUUCGGGAAACCGGAGCUAAUACCGGAGAAUAUAUUGAACCGCAUGGUUCAAUAGUGAAAGACGGUUUUGCUGUCACUUAUAGAGGGAUCCGCGCCGCAUUAGCUAGUUGGUAAGGUAACGGCUUACCAAGGCAACGAUGCGUAGCCGACCUGAGAGGGUGAUAGGCCACCCUGGAACUGAGCCACGGUCCAGACUCCUACGGGAGGCAGCAGUAGGCAAUCUUCCGCAAUGGGCGAGAGCCUGACGGAGCAACGCCGCGUGAGUGAUGAAGGUCUUCGGAUCGUAAAACUCUGUUAUUAGGGAAGAACAAAUGUGUAAGUAACUAUGCACGUCUUGACGGUACCUAAUCAGAAAGCCCCGGCUAACUACGUG
RNAcentral lists this ribosomal RNA (497 nucleotides) under uncultured bacterium. Its description in RNAcentral is "partial 16S ribosomal RNA". It matches the Rfam family "Bacterial small subunit ribosomal RNA", at positions 28 to 507 of the family's 1533-position model. The record is from RNAcentral.